This 164-nucleotide ribosomal RNA is filed under the name Senecio gregorii. RNAcentral's name for it is "5.8S ribosomal RNA". It matches the Rfam family "5.8S ribosomal RNA". From Rfam's summary of the family: 5.8S ribosomal RNA (5.8S rRNA) is a component of the large subunit of the eukaryotic ribosome. It is transcribed by RNA polymerase I as part of the 45S precursor that also contains 18S and 28S rRNA. Lineage: Eukaryota; Viridiplantae; Streptophyta; Magnoliopsida; Asterales; Asteraceae. The record is from RNAcentral.
UAAACGACUCUCGGCAACGGAUAUCUUGGCUCACGCAUCGAUGAAGAACGUAGCAAAAUGCGAUACUUGGUGUGAAUUGCAGAAUCCCGUGAACCAUCGAGUUUUUGAACGCAAGUUGCGCCCGAAGCCUUUUGGUUGAGGGCACGUCUGCCUGGGUGUCACAU